AAUACAGAUUGAUGGCGACCGGCGCACGGGUGAGUAACGCGUAUGCAACUUACCUAUCAGAGGGGGAUAGCCCGGCGAAAGUCGGAUUAAUACCCCAUAAAACAGGGGUCCCGCAUGGGAAUAUUUGUUAAAGAUUCAUCGCUGAUAGAUAGGCAUGCGUUCCAUUAGGCAGUUGGCGGGGUAACGGCCCACCAAACCGACGAUGGAUAGGGGUUCUGAGAGGAAGGUCCCCCACAUUGGUACUGAGACACGGACCAAACUCCUACGGGAGGCAGCAGUGAGGAAUAUUGGUCAAUGGCCGAGAGGCUGAACCAGCCAAGUCGCGUGAAGGAAGAAGGAUCUAUGGUUUGUAAACUUCUUUUAUAGGGGAAUAAAGUGGAGGACGUGUCCUUUUUUGUAUGUACCCUAUGAAUAAGCAUCGGCUAACUCCGUGCCAGCAGCCGCGGUAAUACGGAGGAUGCGAGCGUUAUCCGGAUUUAUUGGGUUUAAAGGGUGCGUAGGUGGUGAUUUAAGUCAGCGGUGAAAGUUUGUGGCUCAACCAUAAAAUUGCCGUUGAAACUGGGUUACUUGAGUGUGUUUGAGGUAGGCGGAAUGCGUGGUGUAGCGGUGAGAUGCAUAGAUAUCACGCAGAACUCCGAUUGCGAAGGCAG
Molecule: ribosomal RNA, 650 nt
Filed under: uncultured Bacteroidales bacterium
Lineage: Bacteria; Pseudomonadati; Bacteroidota; Bacteroidia; Bacteroidales
Description: bacterial SSU rRNA
Rfam family: Bacterial small subunit ribosomal RNA
Source: RNAcentral